RNAcentral lists this ribosomal RNA (497 nucleotides) under uncultured bacterium. RNAcentral's name for it is "partial 16S ribosomal RNA". It matches the Rfam family "Bacterial small subunit ribosomal RNA", at positions 28 to 507 of the family's 1533-position model. The record is from RNAcentral.
GAUGAACGCUGGCGGCGUGCCUAAUACAUGCAAGUCGAGCGAACAGAUGAGGAGCUUGCUCCUCUGACGUUAGCGGCGGACGGGUGAGUAACACGUGGAUAACCUACCUAUAAGACUGGGAUAACUUCGUGAAACCGGAGCUAAUACCGGAUAAUAUAUUUAUCCGCAUGGUUCAAUAGUGAAAGACGGUUUUGCUGUCACUUAUAGAUGGAUCCGCGCCGCAUUAGCUAGUUGGUAAGGUAACGGCUUACCAAGGCAACGAUGCGUAGCCGACCUGAGAGGGUGAUCGGCCACACUGGAACUGAGACACGGUCCAGACUCCUACGGGAGGCAGCAGUAGGGAAUCGUCCGCAAUGGGCGAAAGCCUGACGGAGCAACACCGCGUGAGUGAUGAAGGUCUUCGGAUCGUAAAACUCUGUUAUUAGGGAAGAACAAAUGUGUAAGUAACUAUGCACGUCUUGACGGUACCUAAUCAGAAAGCCACGGCUAACUACGUG